GAUGAACGCUAGCGGCAGGCCUAAUACAUGCAAGUCGAACGGUGUCUUCGGACAUAGUGGCGCACGGGUGCGUAACACGUAUGCAACCUACCUUACAUUGGGGGAUAGCCUUUCGAAAGGGAGAUUAAUACCGCAUAAGACAGUAGCUGGGCAUCCAGCAGCUGUUAAAGAUUUAUCGAUGUAAGCUGGGCAUGCGUCCAAUUAGCUAGUUGGUGAGGUAACGGCUCACCAAGGCAAUGAUUGGUAGGGGAACUGAGAGGUCAAUCCCCCACACUCGCACUGAGAUACGAGCGAGACUCCUACGGGAGGCAGCAGUAGGGAAUAUUGGGCAAUGGACGCAAGUCUGACCCAGCCAUGACGCGUGCAGGAUGAAGGCAUUAUGCGUUGUAAACUGCUUUUAUACAGGAAGAAACGACUCUUGCGAGAGGCAUUGACGGUACUGUAUGAAUAAGCACCGGCUAACUCCGUGCCAGCCGCCGCCGUAA
RNAcentral lists this ribosomal RNA (485 nucleotides) under uncultured bacterium. Its description in RNAcentral is "partial 16S ribosomal RNA". It matches the Rfam family "Bacterial small subunit ribosomal RNA", at positions 28 to 523 of the family's 1533-position model. The record is from RNAcentral.